UAAAGUAGUAUCAGUUAAGAUCUUGAAACUUAAAGAAUUUGGCGGUAUUUUAUUUUUAUCAGAGGAACAUGAUUUUGAAACGAUAAUCCGCGAAAAUCUUACUUAGUUUUACAUUAUGUAUAUCUCCGUCGUAAGAAUUAUUAAUAAUAAUUUUUUCUAAAUAUUUUAAUAUAGGAUGACAGGUCAAGGUGCAGAUUAUAAUUAAGUUAAAUUGUGUUACAAUAAUAUUAUUUAUGGAUUGAUUAAUGAAAUUUGGUUAGGAAAUUGGAUUUGAAAGUAAAUUUUAAAAAUUAUUUUAAAUUGAAUGAAUUAUGAAAUAUGUA
Molecule: ribosomal RNA, 323 nt
Filed under: Siamoglaris zebrina
Lineage: Eukaryota; Metazoa; Arthropoda; Insecta; Psocodea; Prionoglarididae
Description: partial 12s rRNA
Source: RNAcentral